UAACACAUGCAAGUCGAGGGGCAGCACAAGGAGCAAUCUGAGGUGGCGACCGGCGCACGGGUGAGUAACACGUAUGCAACCUGCCUGUAAGCGGGGAAUAACCCGUUGAAAGACGGACUAAUACCGCAUAAUACUAAAUUACUGCAUGGUAAUUUAUUUAAACAUUUAUGGCUUACAGAUGGGCAUGCGCAUGAUUAGCUAGUUGGAGAGGUAACGGCUCCCCAAGGCAACGAUCAUUAGGGGUUCUGAGAGGAAGGUCCCCCACACUGGUACUGAGACACGGACCAGACUCCUACGGGAGGCAGCAGUGAGGAAUAUUGGUCAAUGGACGAGAGUCUGAACCAGCCAAGUCGCGUGCAGGAAGAAUGUUCCCUAUGGAUUGUAAACUGCUUUUGCAGGGGAAUAAAGUGCAUCACGUGUGAUGUUUUGUAUGUACUCUGCGAAUAAGGAUCGGCUAACUCCGUGCCAGCCGCGGC
RNAcentral lists this ribosomal RNA (476 nucleotides) under uncultured bacterium. RNAcentral describes it as "bacterial SSU rRNA". It matches the Rfam family "Bacterial small subunit ribosomal RNA", at positions 49 to 518 of the family's 1533-position model. The record is from RNAcentral.